Molecule: ribosomal RNA, 1163 nt
Filed under: uncultured organism
Description: bacterial SSU rRNA
Rfam family: Bacterial small subunit ribosomal RNA
Source: RNAcentral
CAAGUCGAACGAGAAGCUCCCUUCGGGGAGUGGAGAGUGGCGCACGGGUGAGUAACACGUGAGCAACCUGCCGGGAAGCCCGGGAUAGCCCUCCGAAAGGAGGAUAAUACCAGAUGUGGCCACCCUGCGAUUGCAGGGGAAGCUAAAGGAUUUAUUCACUUCCCGAGGGGCUCGCGGCCCAUCAGCUUGUUGGUGAGGGUAAACGGCCCACCAAGGCGACAAACGGGUAGCUGGUCUGAGAGGAUGGUCAGCCACACUGGAACUGAGACACGGUCCAGACACCUACGGGUGGCAGCAGUCGAGAAUCAUUCGCAAUGGGGGAAACCCUGACGAUGCGACGCCGCGUGGAGGAUGAAGGCCUUAGGGUUGUAAACUCCUGUCAAGAGGGAAUAAGCAAGUGAAGGUACCUCUAGAGGAAGGGGCGGCUAAUUCCGUGCCAGCAGCCGCGGUAACACGGAAGCCCCGAGCGUUGUUCGGAUUCAUUAGGCGUAAAGGGUGCGUAGGCGGCGCGGAAAGUCCGGCGUGAAAGGCAGGGGCUCAACCUCUGGACUGCGUUGGAUACUUCCGUGCUUGAGGACUGGAGGGGAGACUGGAAUUCACGGUGUAGCAGUGAAAUGCGUAGAUAUCGUGAGGAAGACCGGUGGCGGAGGCGAGUCUCUGGACAGAUCCUGACGCUGAGGCACGAAGGCUGGGGGAGCGAACAGGAUUAGAUACCCUGGUAGUCCCAGCAGUAAACGAUGUGAGCUUGAUGUGGGGGGAUUCGACCCCUUCCGUGUCGAAGCUAACGCGAUAAGCUCACCGCCUGAGGAGUACGUCCGCAAGGCUAAAACUCAAAGUAAUUGACGGGGACCCGCACAAUCGGUGGAGUAUGUGGCUUAAUUCGAUGCAACGCGUAGAACCUUACCUGGCCUUGACAUGCAUUGUGUCGUCUGUGAAAGCCGGCUAGUCCUGGAAACAGGACGCUUUGCACAGGUGCUGCAUGGCUGUCGUCAGCUCGUGUCGUGAGAUGUUGGGUUAAGUCCCGCAACGAGCGCAACCCUUGUGGUCAGUUACUAACCGGCUUAGCCGGAGGACUCUGGCCAGACUGCCCUGUCAAACGGGGAGGAAGGUGGGGACGACGUCAAGUCAGUAUGGCCCUUAUGGCCAGGGCUGCACACGUACUA